GCAGCUACCCAGCAAUGGGAUGCGAAUCUCGAAAGCCUGUCUCAGUUCGGAUUGGAGGCUGAAACCCGCCUCCAUGAAGUUGGAUUCGCUAGUAAUCGCGCAUCAGCCAUGGCGCGGUGAAUACGUUCCCGGGCCUUGUACACACCGCCCGUCAAGCCAUGGGAGCCGGGGGUGCCUGAAGUUCGUGACCGCAAGGAGCGACCUAGGGCAAAACUGGUGACUGGGGCUAAGUCGUAACAAGGUAUC
RNAcentral lists this ribosomal RNA (246 nucleotides) under uncultured bacterium. RNAcentral's name for it is "partial 16S ribosomal RNA". It matches the Rfam family "Bacterial small subunit ribosomal RNA", at positions 1246 to 1500 of the family's 1533-position model. The record is from RNAcentral.